CGCAGUAUAGCUUAAUCUAAAGCCCCCCGCUUACACCGGGGACAUACCCGUUAAACUCAGGUUACUUCGA
RNAcentral lists this transfer RNA (70 nucleotides) under Fritziana fissilis (split-backed frog). RNAcentral describes it as "tRNA-Val". Lineage: Eukaryota; Metazoa; Chordata; Amphibia; Anura; Hemiphractidae. The record is from RNAcentral.